RNAcentral lists this ribosomal RNA (484 nucleotides) under uncultured bacterium. RNAcentral's name for it is "partial 16S ribosomal RNA". It matches the Rfam family "Bacterial small subunit ribosomal RNA", at positions 30 to 507 of the family's 1533-position model. The record is from RNAcentral.
AUUGAACGCUGGCGGCAGGCCUAACACAUGCAAGUCGAGCGGAUGAAGGGAGCUUGCUCCUGGAUUCAGCGGCGGACGGGUGAGUAAUGCCUAGGAAUCUGCCUGGUAGUGGGGGAUAACGUCCGGAAACGGGCGCUAAUACCGCAUACGUCCUGAGGGAGAAAGUGGGGGAUCUUCGGACCUCACGCAAUCAGAUGAGCCUAGGUCGGAUUAGCUAGUUGGUGGGGUAAAGGCCUACCAAGGCGACGAUCCGUAACUGGUCUGAGAGGAUGAUCAGUCACACUGGAACUGAGACACGGUCCAGACUCCUACGGGAGGCAGCAGUGGGGAAUAUUGGACGAUGGGCGAAAGCCUGAUCCAGCCAUGCCGCGUGUGUGAAGAAGGUCUUCGGAUUGUAAAGCACUUUAAGUUGGGAGGAAGGGCAGUAAGUUAAUACCUUGCUGUUUUGACGUUACCAACAGAAUAAGCACCGGCUAACUUCGUG